GAGGCUCUGGCUCAGUGGCAGAGCAUCUGCUUGGCAUGGUGAAGAUUGUAGGUUUAAUUCCUGGCAACACCAGGUUUCA
This 79-nucleotide transfer RNA is filed under the name Sphaerodactylus townsendi. RNAcentral's name for it is "tRNA-Ala". The record is from RNAcentral. Lineage: Eukaryota; Metazoa; Chordata; Lepidosauria; Squamata; Sphaerodactylidae.